This is a non-coding RNA of Pelobates cultripes (western spadefoot toad), 237 nucleotides long. The record is from the annotation of a GenBank genome assembly. Lineage: Eukaryota; Metazoa; Chordata; Amphibia; Anura; Pelobatidae.
AUGAAUAUUUACAGAAAUUCAUAUUUACUCACUUUGUACAGUACAGUAAUUGUAUCUUCUGCCCCAGGGAGAUACCGGUAGAGAAAAUGGGAACUUGCUAAAAUAAAAUUCAACUCCCAACAAGAAUACAGCUCAUUUACAUGUCAUAACUUUUAUGCCUUUUGUUCCCAUCUCGAGUGUCAAAGCUGGCCACGAAGGAGGGAUUCUAGGUUGAUUACAACUUCCCUCUCACCUUUC